Long non-coding RNA from Parus major (Great Tit), 2419 nucleotides. RefSeq lists it as uncharacterized. NCBI's taxonomy places the organism in Eukaryota, Metazoa, Chordata, Aves, Passeriformes, Paridae. The transcript is spliced from 3 exons. The record is from RefSeq and is a predicted model, not a curated record.
CAAAUGGAGCCUGUCACCAUCCAUGUUCCUAGGAAUAACCAACAUCAUUUAAAGUACAUAAGCUUGUAUGUAUGCACAAACUCGCACAGAAACACAAAUACACAUUUCCCUAAUACUGGAAAUUUCCUGUAGGUGGUGGGAAACUCCACAGUUUACAUUUACUCCUCAUUAUUGCACGUUACAUUGCGGUAGCAGUAUGUACAAGUCCAAUCCCACAUCUUCUACACGUGGCGACUUAAACUGUUCCUCUCCAAAGCGCUGGUGUGGAGUUACCACUGCAGGGUGUUGUGGAAGGUCAUGCUUCUUCUCCUUUGCUCAUCCUGCCUGUUUCCCUGGCUGAGGAUGGAUGGCAGGAGCCCCAGGAAAGGCUGCUGCACUGUAGCCCUGGUUGUUCCUUCUGGCAGCUGGUCUACAGUGUGAUGGCAAUUGUCUGGAUAUCUCAGCAUGUGGAUCCUGGGGAGGGUCAUGUGAGCCACAGAUGAGGCUAAAGCUCUGCCUGGUUCGGGCAGGGGUGAUUUCCAGCAGAUCUAAGUGGAGUAUGAGAACAGACUCUUUACUCUUCUUCCCAGUCAUGACCUCCUCAGCUGUAAAACCCCAUGUCAUUCACACCCUGUGGCUCCUUGGGCUGAAAGAUCAAAAAGCAAUUGAGCUUGGUGUGCCUGAUUUUUGUACCCUUUGUAUUGCACAUGCAAACUUGAUAUCCAGACCUGAGACUUUGAGUGAGUGGGAUAGAAAAGCCAUGUUUAUUUGCCAGCAAUUCUAUGGUGUGGAGAUACUCUGUAUCUAGAGAUCACAAGCUAUUUUACAAGUGUUAUUAACCUCAUUUUCACAGACAGAGAUGCUGCAGUGAAGGGUGGAUGACUUUGCAAAGCUGUCUAGGAGGAGGGGGCUGUUUGCUGAGAUUUAAAUCCAAGGAAAAGUUAUAUAGAUUGAAAACAUAAACUUGCAUUAGCCUAAUGUAAAUAGCUCUUCCAUAUGUGUGAUCUACUCAUCUGGUGUUCUCACAUCUAUCACGUUGUUAGUGUCCAGAAAUGUUUGUAGAAAAGUUCAGAAAAAAACGGUGCUGUCCUCCUUGCCCAGGGCUGGGGUGUUUCUUUCAUUCCCCAGAACUGCUCAUCAGUCUCCAGGAAUUUAACCAUGAUUCCACUUCCUGUUCAGGAAAUGCCUUGUCAAAAAUGGUUGUCCAUCAAAGAGAUUUAUAUCUCAGUACAGUUCAUAGGAAUCCACUCUCAAAUUGCUUUGUUCCAGAUGCUCAUACUUGGUGUUCAUGUUUCUAAAACCGAUAAACUUGUAUUUCAUGGUAGCUCCUAGGGUGCCCUGCAGACGAGGGUGAGGAUUUCAGGGUUGGCCCCAAAGCAGCAUCACAAAAAGGGAGAACAUUGGAGAAGCAGCUUCCACCAUAACCUUUGUAGGCUGUCCUUGCUGGCACCAUGGGCUUGCCUUUGCAAUGGGGAAGUUCUUAAUAGUGAUAUUUUGCAGUGUGGGCAGAAUGCCUCAGUUGUUCAGGGCACGGAAUUUAUGGCUGCUCUCAAAUCUCUGCAUGACUGUCUCUCAGAGUAUGCAUGUUCCUCAGGUUUCAGAGCCUUGCUCAUUCUUGCUGAGGCAUCAUAGGAUGGUUGCCCCCACUUUCUCCACAAAGCAUCCUUGGAAAGGACUGGAUGGACAAGGAUUUUCCAUCCUUGGAAAAAAAUCGGACAACAUGCCCCAGAACUGGACUCAGUACUCCAGCAAGGGGCUGUUUUCUGUGCAUUGAUUGGACAGAGACUCUCUCUUCACCCCGUUUUGGUGUCCUCUUCUCUCCCUGACCUUCUGAUACCUGCUCAGCAGACCUGUGUGACUUCCCUGCCACUCCAGUGCGUGCUGCAGCAACCUGCCAGCUAAUCGGCCUGAAUUUGCUCACACUGCUGAGACCUGACUUGCAGAUUCCAGCCACCUUUACUUGAGGAAUGACAGCCUGGCAGCCUUCCAGGCUGCCUGCUGGAUCUGGGCCAGCUAUAUAUUGUGAAACUUUUGCUCCUCUUGGACUUUGCAGUAAUUUUGAUCCCCCUGGGGGAUUUGCCUAGUACCAGGUUGAGAAAUCCAAUAAAAAGCCCUGGGAAUUUGCUCUGUGCUCAGCAACACAUAGUUGCUACUGACUCAAAUCCUGUUCCUUUUACAGCAAUAUAAGGGGACUGUAAAACCAAUAAAAGGCACUUUUACCUGUGACUGCAAAUAUUUUGGUGAAUGGGAAAAAACGCUGCAUGUGCUGGGAAUUGAGAUAAGAUUCGAUGUUCAGUCUGAACUGUUAGAAGACAUGUAGUAGAGCUAUAAUUUUACUCUGUACUUCACUUUUGGACCAAGACCAAGACUGAGGUUAUUCUUAUCCUGUGCGUUGCUGAGACUCCUUUCCUUUACUUGAAUACAUUAAAAUUAGCCAAAC